AAAUUGAAGAGUUUGAUCAUGGCUCAGAUUGAACGCUGGCGGCAGGCCUAACACAUGCAAGUCGAACGGUAACAGGAAGCAGCUUGCUGCUUCGCUGACGAGUGGCGGACGGGUGAGUAAUG
RNAcentral lists this ribosomal RNA (122 nucleotides) under Escherichia coli. RNAcentral describes it as "partial 16S ribosomal RNA". It matches the Rfam family "Bacterial small subunit ribosomal RNA", at positions 1 to 115 of the family's 1533-position model. Lineage: Bacteria; Pseudomonadati; Pseudomonadota; Gammaproteobacteria; Enterobacterales; Enterobacteriaceae. RNAcentral also lists the same sequence under 15 other names. The record is from RNAcentral.